AAUAUUGGACAAUGGGGGCAACCCUGAUCCAGCCAUGCCGCGUGUGUGAAGAAGGUCUUCGGUUUGUAAAGCACUUUUUGUUGGAAGGAAGGGCUUUAGGUUAAUACCCUGAAGUUUUGUCGUUACCAACAGAAUAAGCACCGGCUAACUCUGUGUCAGCAGCCGCGGUAAUACAGAGGCUCAAAGCGUUAACCGGAAUUACUGGGCGUAAAGCGCGCGUAGGUGGUUCAGUAAGAUGGGUGUGAAAUCCCCGGGCUUAACCUGGGAACUGCUUUCAUAACUGCUGAGCUAGAGUACGGUAGAGGGUAGUGGAAUUUCCUGUGUAGCGGUGAAAUGCGUAGAUAUAGGAAGGAACACCAGUGGCGAAGGCGACUACCUGGACUGAUACUGACACUGAGGUGCGAAAGCGUGGGGAGCAAACAGG
Molecule: ribosomal RNA, 424 nt
Filed under: uncultured bacterium
Lineage: Bacteria
Description: partial 16S ribosomal RNA
Rfam family: Bacterial small subunit ribosomal RNA
Source: RNAcentral